GCUGGGCAUGGUGGCUCGUGCCUGUAGUCCAAGCUUCUCAGGAGGCUGAGGUGGGAGGAUCACUCGAGCCUAGGAGUUUCAGGCUGCAGUGAGCCAUGAUCACACCACUGCACUCUAGCCUGCGUGACAGAGUGAGAUCCUGUCUCUG
This is an unclassified non-coding RNA of Macaca fascicularis (crab-eating macaque), 148 nucleotides long. It matches the Rfam family "Metazoan signal recognition particle RNA". From Rfam's summary of the family: The signal recognition particle (SRP) is a universally conserved ribonucleoprotein. It is involved in the co-translational targeting of proteins to membranes. The record is from Ensembl. NCBI's taxonomy places the organism in Eukaryota, Metazoa, Chordata, Mammalia, Primates, Cercopithecidae.